Long non-coding RNA from Gallus gallus (chicken), 1875 nucleotides. Lineage: Eukaryota; Metazoa; Chordata; Aves; Galliformes; Phasianidae. The record is from Ensembl.
AUCUUGCUGGAGGUUCCUGCCUAUCUGAGGCUUUCUAAGGGAUGAUAUGGUACAUCUGUUCAUGUCUGGUGUGUCUUUGCUGCCAUAGUUCUCAGCUGCUUGGCUUUGAAGAGGAAUUUCAUGGCUCCUAGACCUUCUUGCUGUUAUUGUAAUAGUAGUCCCUUCUUCUUUCCCUAUUUUUCAAUCCCAUCUACUCUACCAUGAGCAAGUUUGUUGCCCUCAGCAAUUGAUUCAAACAUUGCUUCGUGUAUUUUAUAGGCAUGAGUGAGCAGGUCAGAGUUGAGGCUGUAAUUCCUGGAUAUCCCCAAGCUGGGUUCUUUAAUCAUUGCAGUGGGCCCUAAAUGCCACGGACAAAAAAUGGGGCUGCAGUGUUUGUCAUCUGCUGGUUUGUCGGGGUCUUAAGAACAUCAGAAACUAACAAGAGAAAACUAUUAGGAACGUGUAGUUUUAUGGUGUUAAAAUGUACACCAUUCACACAGCAUGUUGAGAUGAAAUAAAUUUUUGGUGAACUCUUUGAAAGAUCUGAAGAUAAAAUAUUACAAUUCCCCCUUCUUGCUUUCAGAAUACUUUUUGCUCUCUGCUUUGUUCUACCAAAACAAGUCGUGGUGGGGCUGAUCCCAGUGUGCUCUUUUGGAUGCAAGACCAUCAUUUGGGGAAAUAAAGACCCUAGAAUAUUAAUGGAGCAUUUAGAUUAAGCUCUUUGGAUCCUGCGUAGAAUUCCAGCAUGGGCAGGAGCAACGGGGAGCACUCCAGGUAUUUCAUAUCCAAAGAAUUCAAAGGAGAGAUAGAAAAGCCUAUUGUUCUGAAGAGCAGUUCUAAUCCUGAAUUAAAAGUAGGAAACUAUGAAAACAGGAUUUGGCUGUGAAAUAAUAAUAAUCACAUGCUGUGGGUGUGCUAUAGGGUUUGCUCCAUGCCAUCUGUGCUCUAAGGCAGGGUAAUGUCCAGAUUAUUAUGUGUAAUAAGACUUUUUCAAUUAAUCAAAUGUUUUGAUGCUAUAACAUUGAGACAAAUGCACAAAUAUCCCUCUUGCACUAUUCUUUGUCCUUGUUCACGGUUCCUUCCUAGGUUAAGCUAGUCCCUUUACCAUCAAGACUGCAAAUAGCUUCCGACCAAACCCUGGUUUAGAUAUCAACAUUUCACUACAUGUUUAUGCAGAGCCUGGAGCACUGAGAUGCUAACCCAUGACUGGGCUUCUUUAGCAAGACAAUGAGCAGUCUUAAGCAGUAUGAUAGACAUAUCUUCCCUUCUGUGCCACAACUAGUGUGGGGCCAAAGGAAAAUGACAAUGCAAGAAACAAAAUGUCUGUGAAGGGAGAGGAAGAAUUUGUCAUGCUUAAUCUUUGCAUUGUUGUGAUUUUUCUGAUGUUAGUGGUUUUGAAUGAAGCAGAUGGUAGUUGAUAUAAAAAUGAAAGACAGAAAUAAUUAUUUUUAAAAGCGAAAUGGUUAUGCUGUAGGAUGAUUUCUCUUAUAAACCUCUGUGUUUAUGCAUUUCUGAAAGUCAGAAAUUUUCCUUUUGGAUCUGAACUUGGCGCUUGUGCUUAUGAAGCCUUGUAUCUACAUCUGCUGAUAGUCUCAAUGCUCGAGUGAAUCCCCGUCUGGGAAUGAAGAUGCAUUGCACUGGACCAUGUGAAAAUAUGUGUAUUUAGUCGAGGGUGCCCCAGAUGUACUGGAACUGUGCUUUCCAUUCCAGCAUCCUCCCUGUGAAAAUUCAGGAGUAUGUGUUUUUAUAUUUCCUUUGCAUCUUGGGUGUGUAUGUGUCUGACAUUUAUUCUCUUUACAGUCUGAAUCAAUUAUUUUGUCUCUCCUGCUUUUGUUCUAUCUCAGCUUGGUUACUCUCCAGAAACAUACUGGUCCCAUAGGGAUUAAAAUCAAGAAG